Molecule: ribosomal RNA, 207 nt
Filed under: uncultured bacterium
Lineage: Bacteria
Description: partial 16S ribosomal RNA
Rfam family: Bacterial small subunit ribosomal RNA
Source: RNAcentral
UGCGUAGGCGGGGAUUUAAGUCAGCGGUGAAAGUUUGAGGCUCAACCUUAAAAUUGCCGUUGAAACUGGGUUCCUUGAGUGUAGAUGAAGUAGGCGGAAUUUGUGGUGUAGCGGUGAAAUGCAUAGAUAUCACGAAGAACUCCGAUUGCGCAGGCAGCUUACUAAGGUACAACUGACGCUGAAGCACGAAAGCGUGGGUAUCAAACA